RNAcentral lists this ribosomal RNA (252 nucleotides) under uncultured bacterium. Its description in RNAcentral is "partial 16S ribosomal RNA". It matches the Rfam family "Bacterial small subunit ribosomal RNA", at positions 524 to 776 of the family's 1533-position model. The record is from RNAcentral.
UACGGAGGGGCUAGCGUUGUUCGGAAUUACUGGGCGUAAAGCGCACGUAGGCGGCUUUGUAAGUUAGAGGUGAAAGCCCAGGGCUCAACCCUGGAAUUGCCUUUAAGACUGCAUCGCUUGAACAUCGGAGAGGUAAGUGGAAUUCCGAGUGUAGAGGUGAAAUUCGUAGAUAUUCGGAAGAACACCAGUGGCGAAGGCGACUCACUGGACAUGUAUUGACGCUGAGGUACGAAAGCGUGGGGAGCAAACAGG